GUUUUUAUAGCUUAACGGUUAAAGCAUCUCACUGUUAAUGAGAGUAUAUAGGUUCGAUUCCCAUUAAAGACU
This 72-nucleotide transfer RNA is filed under the name Monosporozyma servazzii. RNAcentral's name for it is "Kazachstania servazzii transfer RNA-Asn". It matches the Rfam family "tRNA". From Rfam's summary of the family: Transfer RNA (tRNA) molecules are approximately 80 nucleotides in length. Their secondary structure includes four short double-helical elements and three loops (D, anti-codon, and T loops). RNAcentral also lists the same sequence under 3 other names. Lineage: Eukaryota; Fungi; Ascomycota; Saccharomycetes; Saccharomycetales; Saccharomycetaceae. The record is from RNAcentral.